CUGGUUAUGGGUCUCAGAACGGUCAAGGUGCCAAACCAAACGGUAAAUAAGUUUCCCUCCAGCUGAAAUAAUCAAUAUGAUCAUGAAAAAAAUGGUAUCCUACUAUAUUUGAUGUUUACUUUUCUUAAUACCUAAUGUUCCAUACUCUUGACCUACUGCAGGCUACCAGCCAGCUGCUGCUGUGCCUAAUGGCUAUGGAGCCCGGUUCAACGGUAACUACUAGUUUACGACCUAAUGACACCCUUUGAACAACAAAUGUUGUUCUGUUGGAACAAGACAGAUGUAGAUCUGUAUAUGAAUACAUCUUGUAAUAGAUUAAUAAAACACAAAUAUGAAUUUCAGGUUAUGGUGCGCAUGCAGGACCAACUAAUGGACAAGGAACCAAAGGAAACGGUUUGUAUAUGAAUAAAUAUGAUCUAAAAUUCAAAUAAACACACACGCACUUCAUGUAACCAUUUCAUAAUCUAUAAUUUCAGGUUAUGGUGCCCAAGCAGGAACAGCUAAUGGACAAGGAACCAAAGGAAACGGUUAUGGUGCCCAAGCAGGACCAGCUAAUGGACAAGGAAGCAAAGGAAACGGUUUGUAGAUUAACAAAUAUGAUCUCAAAUUGAAACACACUCGCACGCAUGCACGCGCGCAGCCUAAGUCAUGUAAACAUAAUCAUUUGUAUUUCAGGUUAUGGUGCACAGGCUGGCUUGGCUAAUGGACAAGGAACCAAAGGAAACGGUUUGUAGAAAUGACAAAGACAUGCAAAGUAUUACAGCAACCUGUUGGUCAUACAGAACCUGCAUACAACACUAUAGCGAGGCCCAUAAAGAGUUAUUUAGUUUCUGGUCGUCACAAAACAACAUUGUACUUCCUGUUCCGUCAUCUCAUCACUAGGUUAUGGUGCUGGAGCCGGUGUUGCCAAGGGAAACCAAGGCCAGGCCAAAGGUGUGUUAGCUGGGUUCCUCCCAGGACGUGGCAACCCCAGCCCGGCAGCAGAUAAAGCAGGUAAGCCUGGAGCGUAGCACCCACCAUAUACUCACUGAUGAGAGGUAGACGAAUGACUAUAAUGGAAGAUGAGUCAAUGGAUGGAAUUGACCGUUUUUUCUGUGUCCUGUAGUUUAUUCUGGUGUUCCAAACGGAUACGUAGCCCAACCAAAUGGUAAAAGAACUUGGGACUGCUCACUUGACUAACUUUUCAGACUGCACACAUUUCAACUCAUAACAAAUAUCUAUCAAAGGUAGCAUUAAAAACGGUGUGUUGUAUUGUGAAACCGUGUUCAGGGAUUUUUGUUCUCUUGGAUUUGACUGUCUUACACAUAACAGGGGGGCUCUCAUCGUAGAUGCUAAAGCUUCAUUUGUUGUCAGCUAAUAUUACAUUCAGAGCCAAUGGUAAAGCUUCU
This 1388-nucleotide long non-coding RNA is filed under the name Gadus morhua (Atlantic cod). Its description in RNAcentral is "lncRNA (ENSGMOG00000024324.1)". The record is from RNAcentral. Lineage: Eukaryota; Metazoa; Chordata; Actinopteri; Gadiformes; Gadidae.